RNAcentral lists this ribosomal RNA (259 nucleotides) under uncultured Glomus. RNAcentral describes it as "partial 18S ribosomal RNA". It matches the Rfam family "Eukaryotic small subunit ribosomal RNA", at positions 624 to 886 of the family's 1831-position model. The record is from RNAcentral. Lineage: Eukaryota; Fungi; Glomeromycota; Glomeromycetes; Glomerales; Glomeraceae.
AAGCUCGUAGUUGAAUUUCGGGGUUAAUAGGUUGGUCAUGCCUCUGGUAUGUACUGGUCUCACUGAUUCCUCCUUCCUUAUGAACCGUAAUGCCAUUAAUUUGGUGUUGCGGGGAAUUUGGACUGUUACUUUGAAAAAAUUAGAGUGUUUAAAGCAAGCUAACGCUUGAAUACAUUAGCAUGGAAUAAUGAAAUAGGACGUUCGAUCUUAUUUUGUUGGUUUCUUAGGAUUGACGUAAUGAUUAAUAGGGAUAGUUGGG